GCGGCGUGCCUAAUACAUGCAAGUCGAACGAACUCUGGUAUUGAUUGGUGCUUGCAUCAUGAUUUACAUUUGAGUGAGUGGCGAACUGGUGAGUAACACGUGGGAAACCUGCCCAGAAGCGGGGGAUAACACCUGGAAACAGAUGCUAAUACCGCAUAACAACUUGGACCGCAUGGUCCGAGCUUGAAAGAUGGCUUCGGCUAUCACUUUUGGAUGGUCCCGCGGCGUAUUAGCUAGAUGGUGGGGUAACGGCUCACCAUGGCAAUGAUACGUAGCCGACCUGAGAGGGUAAUCGGCCACAUUGGGACUGAGACACGGCCCAAACUCCUACGGGAGGCAGCAGUAGGGAAUCUUCCACAAUGGACGAAAGUCUGAUGGAGCAACGCCGCGUGAGUGAAGAAGGGUUUCGGCUCGUAAAACUCUGUUGUUAAAGAAGAACAUAUCUGAGAGUAACUGUUCAGGUAUUGACGGUAUUUAACCAGAAAGCCACGGCUAACUACGUGCCAGCAGCCGCGGUAAUACGUAGGUGGCAAGCGUUGUCCGGAUUUAUUGGGCGUAAAGCGAGCGCAGGCGGUUUUUUAAGUCUGAUGUGAAAGCCUUCGGCUCAACCGAAGAAGUGCAUCGGAAACUGGAAAACUUGAGUGCAGAAGAGGACAGUGGAACUCCAUGUGUAGCGGUGAAAUGCGUAGAUAUAUGGAAGAACACCAGUGGCGAAGGCGGCUGUCUGGUCUGUAACUGACGCUGAGGCUCGAAAGUAUGGGUAGCAAACAGGAUUAGAUACCCUGGUAGUCCAUACCGUAAACGAUGAAUGCUAAGUGUUGGAGGGUUUCCGCCCUUCAGUGCUGCAGCUAACGCAUUAAGCAUUCCGCCUGGGGAGUACGGCCGCAAGGCUGAAACUCAAAGGAAUUGACGGGGGCCCGCACAAGCGGUGGAGCAUGUGGUUUAAUUCGAAGCUACGCGAAGAACCUUACCAGGUCUUGACAUACUAUGCAAAUCUAAGAGAUUAGACGUUCCCUUCGGGGACAUGGAUACAGGUGGUGCAUGGUUGUCGUCAGCUCGUGUCGUGAGAUGUUGGGUUAAGUCCCGCAACGAGCGCAACCCUUAUUAUCAGUUGCCAGCAUUAAGUUGGGCACUCUGGUGAGACUGCCGGUGACAAACCGGAGGAAGGUGGGGAUGACGUCAAAUCAUCAUGCCCCUUAUGACCUGGGCUACACACGUGCUACAAUGGAUGGUACAACGAGUUGCGAACUCGCGAGAGUAAGCUAAUCUCUUAAAGCCAUUCUCAGUUCGGAUUGUAGGCUGCAACUCGCCUACAUGAAGUCGGAAUCGCUAGUAAUCGCGGAUCAGCAUGCCGCGGUGAAUACGUUCCCGGGCCUUGUACACACCGCCCGUCACACCAUGAGAGUUUGUAACACCCAAAGUCGGUGGGGUAACCUUUUAGGAACCAGCCGCCUAAGGUGGGACAGAUGAUU
Molecule: ribosomal RNA, 1472 nt
Filed under: Lactiplantibacillus plantarum
Lineage: Bacteria; Bacillati; Bacillota; Bacilli; Lactobacillales; Lactobacillaceae
Description: Lactobacillus plantarum 16S ribosomal RNA
Rfam family: Bacterial small subunit ribosomal RNA
Source: RNAcentral